This 434-nucleotide long non-coding RNA is filed under the name Cyanistes caeruleus (blue tit). RNAcentral's name for it is "lncRNA (ENSCCEG00000013990.1)". Lineage: Eukaryota; Metazoa; Chordata; Aves; Passeriformes; Paridae. The record is from RNAcentral.
CAGUCAGAGGAGAAUUGGCAUGGAGAAAUAUGGAAAAGAAAAGUAUAAUAGAAAGUUGGAUAGUUCUGUAAAAUACCUGGCACAGAAAACUAGGAAGAUGCAAAAUAAUAAAUAGAGGAGGAGAAGCGGUGCAGUUUCGCGAGAAUAAGAUACUGUGAAGAACGUUGAGAUUCUGCAUAAAGCUGGAGGAAAAGGAAGAAAAACACACAUAAAUAUUGCAGUAUCAUUCUUUCAAGACAUGAGUUAUUCUAGCAAAAAUAUAUUACUUCAGAAUAUUUUAUUAAAAAAAAUUAAUUAAAAAAAUUCUUGUAAGUAUUUAGAGCCAAGGUGCCAAAUAUUAAAAACAUAUAGCAAACCUUGAAAUGCUAACAGUUUUUUUUUAUUGUUUUGCCUCUUUUUAAAAGAAUAAAUAUUUAAGCAAAAUAGGUUUGUCA